AACCACUCAGUCAAGUCUUCUUCUUCUUCUCCUCCUCCUAUAGAAGAGAGGGGACAAGAGUUCUAAUAGCAAGAGCAGCAGCAACAUCAAAAUAUCAUAUGGGGAAAAAUCACCGAGCUCGCUUCACCCUCAUGAUCUCCUCCCUCAUCGUCAUCAUGUUUUGGUUGGCAGCAUUACAGCCGGCAGAGGCGGCCGACGGGUGGCCGAUGCCGAGUAGGUGGGUCGACCCAGAUCUACUGUUGCCGUCGCUGCCUCAGGGAACUACUCUUCCGAGGCGUUCACUGCGACCAUUAAUUUGCGGCUUUACUUGUCCGCCUCCUGUCUCUGAUCCGCAACCUCCUCCGGUGAAGCGACCCCCACGCCGACCAUAAGCCUCCCAGUGGGCUUCCCGUGCAACGUUGACGUACGUCGAUCGAGUGUAUGCAUGUUUCUGUUUUCUCAGCUUGCUUCUGUCUGCAGCAACAAAAAGAUUCGAAGAGAAUAAAAAGUAUCUAUUUUGUCAAGGUUUCUUGGAGUACAUGGGUGUGUUAGAUAUGCUUGUGCCAUCUAAUUCGUUGGCUAUUCUUCUUCUUCUAUGUCCUUCGUGUGUUAGAUAUGCUUGGGCUUACAUCUUCUUUCCUCUCAAUCAACUACGAUACGAUUUCAACAAGGAAAACAAGAGAAUCCUAGAUAGCUAAGAAGCAUGAGUUCUUGGGAUGAUGCUGCGGUUAUUAAUUUGCAGUCCUUUAAAAGCAUAAGAUUCGAUUGUUGGAAAGAAAUAAAUAAAUUUAAUUUAGCACGAUAUUUAUUGUAUGAGGAAAAGACAAGCGAAAAGUUGAAUAAGAAAUGAUUUCCAAGUA
RNAcentral lists this long non-coding RNA (839 nucleotides) under Musa acuminata (dwarf banana). RNAcentral's name for it is "long non-coding RNA (MACU_LNC010307)". The record is from RNAcentral. Lineage: Eukaryota; Viridiplantae; Streptophyta; Magnoliopsida; Zingiberales; Musaceae.